GCUGGGCGUGGUGGCUCACGCCUGUAAUCCCAGCUCUUUGGGAGGCGGAGGCGGGUGGAUCACCUGAGGUCGGGAGUUUGAGACCAACCUGACCAACAUGGAGAAACCCCGUCUCUA
Callithrix jacchus (white-tufted-ear marmoset) is the source of this 117-nucleotide unclassified non-coding RNA. It matches the Rfam family "Metazoan signal recognition particle RNA". From Rfam's summary of the family: The signal recognition particle (SRP) is a universally conserved ribonucleoprotein. It is involved in the co-translational targeting of proteins to membranes. The record is from Ensembl. Lineage: Eukaryota; Metazoa; Chordata; Mammalia; Primates; Cebidae.